Molecule: ribosomal RNA, 480 nt
Filed under: Veillonellaceae bacterium oral taxon 155
Lineage: Bacteria; Bacillati; Bacillota; Negativicutes; Veillonellales; Veillonellaceae
Description: bacterial SSU rRNA
Rfam family: Bacterial small subunit ribosomal RNA
Source: RNAcentral
GACGAACGCUGGCGGCGUGCUUAACACAUGCAAGUCGAACGGAGCUAUUUAUUUCGGUAGAUAGCUUAGUGGCAAACGGGUGAGUAACGCGUAGGCAACCUGCCCUCAGGAUGGGGACAACGGCUCGAAAGAGCCGCUAAUACCGAAUGACGUAACUCUUCCACAUGGAAGAGAUACUAAAGAUGGGUCAAACCAUCGCCUAAGGAUGGGCCUGCGUCUGAUUAGCCAGUUGGUGAGGUAACGGCUCACCAAAGCGACGAUCAGUAGCCGGUCUGAGAGGAUGAACGGCCACAAUGGGACUGAGACACGGCCCAUACUCCUACGGGAGGCAGCAGUGGGGAAUCUUCCGCAAUGGGCGAAAGCCUGACGGAGCAACGCCGCGUGAGUGAAGAAGGUCUUCGGAUCGUAAAGCUCUGUUGUCGGGGACGAAAGAGUAGACGAGGAAAUGCGUCUACUAAGACGGUACCUGACGAGGAAGCC